Diceros bicornis minor is the source of this 218-nucleotide long non-coding RNA. RefSeq lists it as uncharacterized. The transcript has 4 exons. NCBI's taxonomy places the organism in Eukaryota, Metazoa, Chordata, Mammalia, Perissodactyla, Rhinocerotidae. The record is from RefSeq and is a predicted model, not a curated record.
AGAGCCCCUCCAUUCAGCGUUUAAAAAAGACGUGGGGACGGGUGUCCAGGAGGAACUGCCAAAAAUUUAAAACCUUGUGCAAAACGGACCAGCGGGAGAGCAGGAAGCUGCUCAUGGAGGAGGUGAACUCUGUGUGGGCCACCCAAGAGAUGGACCCCCAGGGAGCCCAGGAGAGGCAGCAGCAGCAGGGUGUCGUCCCCUUCCUGGGCACGUUCCUC